CGGACGGGUGAGUAAUGUCUGGGAAACUGCCUGAUGGAGGGGGAUAACUAAUGGAAACGGUAGCUAAUACCGCAUAACGUCGCAAGACCAAAGAGGGGGACCUUAGGGCCUCUUGCCAUCGGAUGUGCCCAGAUGGGAUUAGCUAGUAGGUGGGGUAACGGCUCACCUAGGCGACGAUCCCUAGCUGGUCUGAGAGGAUGACCAGCCACACUGGAACUGAGACACGGUCCAG
This 232-nucleotide ribosomal RNA is filed under the name uncultured bacterium. Its description in RNAcentral is "partial 16S ribosomal RNA". It matches the Rfam family "Bacterial small subunit ribosomal RNA", at positions 99 to 334 of the family's 1533-position model. The record is from RNAcentral.